Molecule: ribosomal RNA, 252 nt
Filed under: uncultured bacterium
Lineage: Bacteria
Description: partial 16S ribosomal RNA
Rfam family: Bacterial small subunit ribosomal RNA
Source: RNAcentral
UACGGGGGGGGCAAGCGUUGUUCGGAAUUACUGGGCGUAAAGGGCUCGUAGGCGGCCAACUAAGUCAGACGUGAAAUCCCUCGCUUAACCGGGGAACUGCGUCUGAUACUGGACGGCUUGAAUCCGGGAGAGGGAUGCGGAAUUCCAGGUGUAGCGGUGAAAUGCGUAGAUAUCAGGAGGAACACCGGUGGCGAAGGCGGCUUUCUGGACACUUACUGACGCUGAGACGCGAAAGCGUGGGGAGCAAACAGG